GAUGAACGCUGGCGGCGUGCCUAAUACAUGCAAGUCGAGCGAACGGACGAGACGCUUGCUUCUCUGAUGUUAGCGUCGGACGGGUGAGUAACACGUGGAUAACCUACCUAUAAGACUGGGAUAACUUCGUGAAACCGGAGCUAAUACCGGCUAAUAUUUUGAACCGCAUGGUUCAAAAGUGAAAGACGGUCUUGCUGUCACUUAUAGAUGGAUCCGCGCUGCAUUAGCUAGUUGGUAAGGUAACGGCUUACCAAGGCAACGAUGCAUAGCCGACCUGAGAGGGUGAUCGGCCACACUGGAACUGAGACACGGUCCAGACUCCUACGGGAGGCAGCAGUAGGGAAUCUUCCGCAAUGGGCGAAAGCCUGACGGAGCAACGCCGCGUGAGUGAUGAAGGUCUUCGGAUCGUAAAACUCUGUUAUUAGGGAAGAACAUAUGUGUAAGUAACUGUGCACAUCUUGACGGUACCUAAUCAAAAAGCCACGGCUAACUACGUG
This 497-nucleotide ribosomal RNA is filed under the name uncultured bacterium. RNAcentral's name for it is "partial 16S ribosomal RNA". It matches the Rfam family "Bacterial small subunit ribosomal RNA", at positions 28 to 507 of the family's 1533-position model. The record is from RNAcentral.